GAAUAUUGGUCAAUGGACGCAAGUCUGAACCAGCCAUGCCGCGUGCAGGAUGACGGUCCUAUGGAUUGUAAACUGCUUUUGUACGGGAAGAAACCCCUCUACGUGUAGAGGGCUGACGGUACCGUAAGAAUAAGGAUCGGCUAACUCCGUGCCAGCAGCCGCGGUAAUACGGAGGAUCCAAGCGUUAUCCGGAAUCAUUGGGUUUAAAGGGUCCGUAGGCGGCUUUAUAAGUCAGUGGUGAAAUCCGGCAGCUCAACUGUCGAACUGCCUCUGAUACUGUAGAGCUUGAAUUACUGUGAAGUAACUAGAAUAUGUAGUGUAGCGGUGAAAUGCUUAGAUAUUACAUGGAAUACCAAUUGCGAAGGCAGGUUACUAACAUUAUAUUGACGCUGAUGGACGAAAGCGUGGGGAGCGAACAGG
RNAcentral lists this ribosomal RNA (420 nucleotides) under uncultured bacterium. Its description in RNAcentral is "bacterial SSU rRNA". It matches the Rfam family "Bacterial small subunit ribosomal RNA", at positions 359 to 776 of the family's 1533-position model. The record is from RNAcentral.